Molecule: unclassified non-coding RNA, 160 nt
Filed under: uncultured fungus
Lineage: Eukaryota; Fungi
Description: sequence contains ITS1, 5.8S rRNA gene
Source: RNAcentral
AAAAAAAAGCUGGUUAGCGCCAGCAUCAUAAUAUUACCAAUGUGCACCUAUUGAACCUUUUGCUUUGGCAGAAUUUUCCAUUUUUUUGGAGGUUCUGCCAAGUGUAUUUUUAAUCCUAUCCUGAUUGUCGACUGAAUUUUUAAAUUAAAAAAACUUAAUA